RNAcentral lists this ribosomal RNA (1047 nucleotides) under Triticum aestivum (bread wheat). RNAcentral's name for it is "partial small subunit ribosomal RNA". Lineage: Eukaryota; Viridiplantae; Streptophyta; Magnoliopsida; Poales; Poaceae. The record is from RNAcentral.
AUGGAGCCGCUUCUCUCUGCAAUCGUGGGUGAUCUUGUCAGCAGAGCCCUGUCCAUGGUAACCCAGAGAUACCUGCAGUCCAAGGGAGCAGAGGAGGAGAAGCUCCAGAGGCUACGGGCAGUGCUGCUAAGGAUCGAUGCCACCGUCGAGGAGGCCGAGGGGAGGCACAUCACCAACCAGGCAAUGCUCCAGCAGCUCCAGAUGUUGAGACGAGGUAUGUACAGAGGCUACUACACGCUCGACACCUUCAGAUACCGAGCGCACAGGGACGAGGCCUAUGGCGAGGCGAGCACUCGCCGUUCGCUUGCCCUGUCCAGAUUCAGCCCUUCCAGUUCCAGACGUACCUUCUUCUCCGUGUGCGAUGCUCCGAGCAGGGACCUGGUGCUUGAUGCCGGGAGCUGCAGCAAUCUCGACAAGAUGCUCAGCAGCCUUGAGAGAAUGAUUGGUGACAUGCAGGAGUUCGUGAUGUUCUUGGCCAGCUAUCCUCGAAUCUCCCGGCAACCUUACAGCGCGUACUUGUUUCAUGAUCAGGUUAUGUUUGGCCGGCAGAUGGAAAAGGAGACAAUUUUGAGCUUUCUGCUUUGUAGGGAGGCUGCAAGGAAUGGAAGUCUGGGUGUGCUGCCGAUAAUUGGUCCAGCGAGAGUCGGAAAGAGUACACUUGUUGAGCAUGUCUGCCACGACGAGAGGGUGCGCAGGCGCUUCUCGUUGAUCGUCUUCUUCAGCGGGAAUGAUCUCAAUGGUGGAAACUUGGCUACUCUAAAAGGUAGCGGUGUGAUCAAGCAUCAGAAUCUUGCUUCCAGCCCGCGUGGAGACUCACUGGCUGUGAUUGAGCUAGCAGGGGACAUGGACGAGGAAACAUGGAGGGGGUUGUACACCUCGGCUGCAAACCACCUGACGCCAGGCAGUAAAAUCAUACUGACCAGCCGUUCAGAGAAGAUAGCAUCAUUAGGAACGGCACAGUCUCUUGUGCUGAAAUUUUUGUCCCAAGAAGCUUACUGGUAUUUCUUCAAGACGGCUGCAUUCGGAAGCACAGACCCUGAGUGCUGA